This 856-nucleotide ribosomal RNA is filed under the name Gammarus monticellus. Its description in RNAcentral is "partial 16S ribosomal RNA". The stretch from base 567 to 856 matches the Rfam family "Bacterial large subunit ribosomal RNA", at positions 2046 to 2586 of the family's 2925-position model. The record is from RNAcentral. Lineage: Eukaryota; Metazoa; Arthropoda; Malacostraca; Amphipoda; Gammaridae.
GGGCUAAGAAAAAAUAAUAAUUGUACCUUUUGUAUCAGGGGAAUUUAAAAGUAAAAUAAGGAUUUUAUCGAGUCAACCAGAUCUUCUUUGGUUGGUUUAAUAGUAAAAUCUAAUGAUUAAAAGCAAGUAAGAGGUAAAAAGUGUACGGUGGUUUUGGUAUCUAGUUGUUUUGGUAUUGUAAAGGGAUAAGCUUUUAAUAAUCUAUGUUGCAGGGUAGUGUAAGAAAACUAGGCUUUAGAUUAGCCAGGUUAUUAGGAUGUUUUAAGUAAUUUUUUUAUUAUUAACAAUAUAUAGAGUUAUAUAAAUAAUAAUGAAUAUUAUAAGUUUAUAAAAAUAAUGAAUUUAUUGAAUAUUAAAUUAAACUCUAAAAUAACUCAAAAUAUUUUAGAAAGUUUAACAAAAACAUUUCUAUUUGAUGAAAAAAAAGUAAGACCUGCCCGGUGAUAAUUAAACGGCUGCGGUAUUUUAACUGUGCUAAGGUAGCAUAAUCAAUUGUUUCUUAAUUGGUAACUGGAAUGAAGGGUUUAACUAAAUUAUUUAGUUUGUUAAGUUAAGUAGGACGUUAAAGUCAAGGUAAUAAUUCUUUGAUCUUCUAGGGGACGAUAAGACCCUAGAAGCUUAAUAUAUUGAAAAUAUAUUAGUUAUAUAAUGUAAUUUAUUUUACUGGGGCGGUAACAAUUUAUUAACUAUUGUUAAUUUGAGGGAUCCUUAUAAUAAAGAUAGAGCGGAGAAGUUACUCUAGGGUUAACAGUGUGAUAUACUUGAAGAGAUCGUAUCGAUAAGUAUGAUUACAACCUCGAUGUUGAAUUAAGAUUUCUUAAUGGGGCAGCCAAUAUAAGAGAAGGUUUGUUCAACC